AAGUCGUAACAAGGUUUCCGUAGGUGAACCUGCGGAAGGAUCAUUACCAAAUUUUCCCAUUUCGUUUGACACCGUGUGUGAACUGGAUCAUUGUGCUCGCUUUGGCCGCUGGUGACGGUGGCCGAGCGUGUUCAACCCCAUUGUCCCUCUUUUGCAUUCUUAUUUUAUUGAAGGGGGCUUGAUCAUCAAUCAAGUCUCUUUGUGAAUUUGAAAUACAACUUUUAACGGUGGAUCUCUUGGCUCGC
This 245-nucleotide unclassified non-coding RNA is filed under the name fungal sp. Its description in RNAcentral is "partial internal transcribed spacer region". The stretch from base 1 to 46 matches the Rfam family "Eukaryotic small subunit ribosomal RNA", at positions 1786 to 1831 of the family's 1831-position model. The record is from RNAcentral. Lineage: Eukaryota; Fungi.